UAAGCUGAGGAAAAGAAACCAACAGGGAUUGCCUCAGUAACGGCGAGUGAAGCGGCAAAAGCUCAAAUUUGAAAUCUAGCACCUUCGGUGUUCGAGUUGUAAUUUGAAGAUGGUAACCUUGGGUUUGGCUCUUGUCUAUGUUCCUUGGAACAGGACGUCAUAGAGGGUGAGAAUCCCGUCUGAUGAGAUGCCCAUUCCUAUGUAAGGUGCUAUCGAAGAGUCGAGUUGUUUGGGAAUGCAGCUCUAAGUGGGUGGUAAAUUCCAUCUAAAGCUAAAUAUUGGCGAGAGACCGAUAGCGAACAAGUACAGUGAUGGAAAGAUGAAAAGAACUUUGAAAAGAGAGUGAAAAAGUACGUGAAAUUGUUGAAAGGGAAGGGCAUUAGAUCAGACUUGGUGUUUUACGAUUAUCUUCUCUUCUUGAGUUGUGCACUCGUAUUUCACUGGGCCAGCAUCGAUUCGGAUGGCAAGAUAAUGGCAGUUGAAUGUGGCUUCACUUCGGUGGAGUGUUAUAGCUUCUGCUGAUAUUGCCUGUCUGGAUCGAGGGCUGCGUCUUUGACUAGGA
Molecule: ribosomal RNA, 562 nt
Filed under: Hansenula anomala
Lineage: Eukaryota; Fungi; Ascomycota; Saccharomycetes; Phaffomycetales; Wickerhamomycetaceae
Description: eukaryotic LSU rRNA
Rfam family: Eukaryotic large subunit ribosomal RNA
Source: RNAcentral